RNAcentral lists this transfer RNA (82 nucleotides) under Bigelowiella natans CCMP2755. RNAcentral's name for it is "tRNA-Leu for anticodon CAA". It matches the Rfam family "tRNA". Rfam says of the family: Transfer RNA (tRNA) molecules are approximately 80 nucleotides in length. Their secondary structure includes four short double-helical elements and three loops (D, anti-codon, and T loops). Further hydrogen bonds mediate the characteristic L-shaped molecular structure. tRNAs have two regions of fundamental functional importance: the anti-codon, which is responsible for specific mRNA codon recognition, and the 3' end, to which the tRNAs corresponding amino acid is attached (by aminoacyl-tRNA synthetases). tRNAs cope with the degeneracy of the genetic code in two manners: having more than one tRNA (with a specific anti-codon) for a particular amino acid; and 'wobble' base-pairing, i.e. permitting non-standard base-pairing at the 3rd anti-codon position. Lineage: Eukaryota; Cercozoa; Chlorarachniophyceae. The record is from RNAcentral.
GACCACGUGGCCGAGUGGUCUAAGGCGCACGAUUCAGGUUCGUGUCUCUUCGGAGGCGAGAGUUCGAACCUCUCCGUGGUUA